This 552-nucleotide ribosomal RNA is filed under the name uncultured bacterium. RNAcentral's name for it is "bacterial SSU rRNA". It matches the Rfam family "Bacterial small subunit ribosomal RNA", at positions 772 to 1319 of the family's 1533-position model. The record is from RNAcentral.
ACUGAAUAGAUACCCUGGUAGUCCAUGCCGUAAACGUUGGGCACUAGGUGUGGGGGACAUUCCACGUUUUCCGCGCCGUAGCUAAACGCAUUAAGUGCCCCGCCUGGGGAGUACGGCCGCAAGGCUAAAACUCAAAGGAAUUGACGGGGGCCCGCACAAGCGGCGGAGCAUGCGGAUUAAAUUCGAUGCAACGCGAAGAACCUUACCAAGGCUUGACAUGGACCGGAUCGCCGCAGAAAUGUGGUUUCUCCUUUUGGGGCCGGUUCACAGGUGGUGCAUGGUUGUCGUCAGCUCGUGUCGUGAGAUGUUGGGUUAAGUCCCGCAACGAGCGCAACCCUCGUUCCAUGUUGCCAGCGCGUAAUGGCGGGGACUCAUGGGAGACUGCCGGGGUCAACUCGGAGGAAGGUGGGGACGACGUCAAAUCAUCAUGCCCCUUAUGUCUUGGGCUUCACGCAUGCUACAAUGGCCGGUACAAAGGGUUGCGAUACUGUGAGGUGGAGCUAAUCCCAAAAAGCCGGUCUCAGUUCGGAUUGGGGUCUGCAACUCGACCCC